Molecule: ribosomal RNA, 438 nt
Filed under: uncultured bacterium
Lineage: Bacteria
Description: bacterial SSU rRNA
Rfam family: Bacterial small subunit ribosomal RNA
Source: RNAcentral
CCUACGGGAGGCAGCAGUGGGGGAUAUUGCACAAUGGGGGAAACCCUGAUGCAGCGACGCCGCGUGAGUGAAGAAGUCAUUCGUGAUGUAAAGCUCUAUCAGCAGGGAAGAAAAUGACGGUACCUGACUAAGAAGCCCCGGCUAACUACGUGCCAGCAGCCGCGGUAAUACGUAGGGGGCAAGCGUUAUCCGGAUUUACUGGGUGUAAAGGGAGCGUAGACGGCCAGGCAAGUCUGGAGUGAAAGCCCGGGGCUCAACCCCGGGACUGCUUUGGAAACUGUAGGGCUGGAGUGCAGGAGGGGUAAGCGGAAUUCCUAGUGUAGCGGUGAAAUGCGUAGAUAUUAGGAGGAACACCGGUGGCGAAGGCGGCUUACUGGACUGCAACUGACGUUGAGGCUCGAAGGCGUGGGGAGCAAACAGGAUUAGAUACCCCAGUAG